RNAcentral lists this ribosomal RNA (465 nucleotides) under Vreelandella stevensii. RNAcentral describes it as "partial 16S ribosomal RNA". It matches the Rfam family "Bacterial small subunit ribosomal RNA", at positions 338 to 795 of the family's 1533-position model. The record is from RNAcentral. Lineage: Bacteria; Pseudomonadati; Pseudomonadota; Gammaproteobacteria; Oceanospirillales; Halomonadaceae.
CCUACGGGGGUCUGCAGUGGGGAAUAUUGGACAAUGGGGGGAACCCUGAUCCAGCCAUGCCGCGUGUGUGAAGAAGGCCCUCGGGUUGUAAAGCACUUUCAGUGAGGAAGAACGCCUGGUGGUUAAUACCCAUCAGGAAAGACAUCACUCACAGAAGAAGCACCGGCUAACUCCGUGCCAGCAGCCGCGGUAAUACGGAGGGUGCGAGCGUUAAUCGGAAUUACUGGGCGUAAAGCGCGCGUAGGUGGCUUGAUAAGCCGGUUGUGAAAGCCCCGGGCUCAACCUGGGAACGGCAUCCGGAACUGUCAAGCUAGAGUGCAGGAGAGGAAGGUAGAAUUCCCGGUGUAGCGGUGAAAUGCGUAGAGAUCGGGAGGAAUACCAGUUGCGAAGGCGGCCUUCUGGACUGACACUGACACUGAGGUGCGAAAGCGUGGGUAGCAAACAGGAUUAGCUACCCUGGUAGUC